Molecule: ribosomal RNA, 520 nt
Filed under: uncultured Glomus
Lineage: Eukaryota; Fungi; Glomeromycota; Glomeromycetes; Glomerales; Glomeraceae
Description: SSU rRNA
Rfam family: Eukaryotic small subunit ribosomal RNA
Source: RNAcentral
AGCAGCCGCGGUAAUUCCAGCUCCAAUAGCGUAUAUUAAAGUUGUUGCAGUUAAAAAGCUCGUAGUUGAAUUUCGGGAUCAAUAUGUUGGUCGUGCCUUGGUACGUACUGGCAUUAUCGAUUCCUACCUUCUGAAGAACCUCGAUAUCAUUAAUUUGGUGUCUUGGGGAAUCAGGACUGUUACUUUGAAAAAAUUAGAGUGUUUAAAGCAAGCUAACGCUUGAAUACAUUAGCAUGGAAUAAUGAAAUAGGACGUUCGAUCCUAUUUUGUUGGUUUCUAGGAUUGACGUAAUGAUUAAUAGGGAUAGUUGGGGGCAUUAGUAUUCAAUUGUCAGAGGUGAAAUUCUUGGAUUUAUUGAAGACUAACUACUGCGAAAGCAUUUGCCAAGGAUGUUUUCAUUAAUCAAGAACGAAAGUUAGGGGAUCGAAGACGAUCAGAUACCGUCGUAGUCUUAACCAUAAACUAUGCCGACUAGGGAUCGGAUGAUGUUAAUUUUUAAUGACUCAUUCGGCGCCUUACG